GGUUAAGCGACUAAGCGUACACGGUGGAUGCCCUGGCAGUCAGAGGCGAUGAAGGACGUGCUAAUCUGCGAAAAGCGUCGGUAAGGUGAUAUGAACCGUUAUAACCGGCGAUGUCCGAAUGGGGAAACCCAGUGCAAUUCGUUGCACUAUCGUUAACUGAAUACAUAGGUUAACGAGGCGAACCGGGGGAACUGAAACAUCUAAGUACCCCGAGGAAAAGAAAUCAACCGAGAUUCCCCCAGUAGCGGCGAGCGAACGGGGAGCAGCCCAGAGUCUGAAUCAGCUUGUGUGUUAGUGGAACGGUCUGGAAAGUCCGACGGUACAGGGUGAUAGUCCCGUACACCAAAAUGCACAGGCUGUGAACUCGAAGAGUAGGGCGGGACACGUGGUAUCCUGUCUGAAUAUGGGGGGACCAUCCUCCAAGGCUAAAUACUCCUGACUGACCGAUAGUGAACCAGUACCGUGAGGGAAAGGCGAAAAGAACCCCGGCGAGGGGAGUGAAAAAGAACCUGAAACCGUGUACGUACAAGCAGUGGGAGCACCUUCGGGUGUGACUGCGUACCUUUUGUAUAAUGGGUCAGCGACUUAUAUUCUGUAGCAAGGUUAACCGUAUAGGGGAGCCGCAGGGAAACCGAGUCUUAACUGGGCGUUAAGUUGCAGGGUAUAGACCCGAAACCCGGUGAUCUAGCCAUGGGCAGGUUGAAGGUUGGGUAACACUAACUGGAGGACCGAACCGACUAAUGUUGAAAAAUUAGCGGAUGACUUGUGGCUGGGGGUGAAAGGCCAAUCAAACCGGGAGAUAGCUGGUUCUCCCCGAAAGCUAUUUAGGUAGCGCCUCGUGAAUUCAUCUUCGGGGGUAGAGCACUGUUUCGGCUAGGGGGUCAUCCCGACUUACCAACCCGAUGCAAACUACGAAUACCGAAGAAUGUUAUCACGGGAGACACACGGCGGGUGCUAACGUCCGUCGUGAAGAGGGAAACAACCCAGACCGCCAGCUAAGGUCCCAAAGUCAUGGUUAAGUGGGAAACGAUGUGGGAAGGCACAGACAGCCAGGAUGUUGGCUUAGAAGCAGCCAUCAUUUAAAGAAAGCGUAAUAGCUCACUGGUCGAGUCGGCCUGCGCGGAAGAUGUAACGGGGCUAAACCAUGCACCGAAGCUGCGGCAGCGACACUAUGUGUUGUUGGGUAGGGGAGCGUUCUGUAAGCCUGCGAAGGUGUGCUGUGAGGCAUGCUGGAGGUAUCAGAAGUGCGAAUGCUGACAUAAGUAACGAUAAAGCGGGUGAAAAGCCCGCUCGCCGGAAGACCAAGGGUUCCUGUCCAACGUUAAUCGGGGCAGGGUGAGUCGACCCCUAAGGCGAGGCCGAAAGGCGUAGUCGAUGGGAAACAGGUUAAUAUUCCUGUACUUGGUGUUACUGCGAAGGGGGGACGGAGAAGGCUAUGUUAGCCGGGCGACGGUUGUCCCGGUUUAAGCAUGUAGGCUGGUUGUCCAGGCAAAUCCGGAUAAUCAAGGCUGAGGUGUGAUGACGAGGCACUACGGUGCUGAAGUAACAAAUGCCCUGCUUCCAGGAAAAGCCUCUAAGCAUCAGGUAACAUCAAAUCGUACCCCAAACCGACACAGGUGGUCAGGUAGAGAAUACCAAGGCGCUUGAGAGAACUCGGGUGAAGGAACUAGGCAAAAUGGUGCCGUAACUUCGGGAGAAGGCACGCUGGUGUGUAGGUGAAGUCCCUGCGGAUGGAGCUGAGACCAGUCGAAGAUACCAGCUGGCUGCAACUGUUUAUUAAAAACACAGCACUGUGCAAACACGAAAGUGGACGUAUACGGUGUGACGCCUGCCCGGUGCCGGAAGGUUAAUUGAUGGGGUUAUCCGUAAGGAGAAGCUCUUGAUCGAAGCCCCGGUAAACGGCGGCCGUAACUAUAACGGUCCUAAGGUAGCGAAAUUCCUUGUCGGGUAAGUUCCGACCUGCACGAAUGGCGUAAUGAUGGCCAGGCUGUCUCCACCCGAGACUCAGUGAAAUUGAACUCGCUGUGAAGAUGCAGUGUACCCGCGGCAAGACGGAAAGACCCCGUGAACCUUUACUAUAGCUUGACACUGAACAUUGAGCCUUGAUGUGUAGGAUAGGUGGGAGGCUUUGAAGCGUGGACGCCAGUCUGCGUGGAGCCAACCUUGAAAUACCACCCUUUAAUGUUUGAUGUUCUAACGUUGGCCCCUUACCGGGGUUGCGGACAGUGUCUGGUGGGUAGUUUGACUGGGGCGGUCUCCUCCCAAAGCGUAACGGAGGAGCACGAAGGUUAGCUAAUCCUGGUCGGACAUCAGGAGGUUAGUGCAAUGGCAUAAGCUAGCUUGACUGCGAGCGUGACGGCGCGAGCAGGUGCGAAAGCAGGUCAUAGUGAUCCGGUGGUUCUGAAUGGAAGGGCCAUCGCUCAACGGAUAAAAGGUACUCCGGGGAUAACAGGCUGAUACCGCCCAAGAGUUCAUAUCGACGGCGGUGUUUGGCACCUCGAUGUCGGCUCAUCACAUCCUGGGGCUGAAGUAGGUCCCAAGGGUAUGGCUGUUCGCCAUUUAAAGUGGUACGCGAGCUGGGUUUAGAACGUCGUGAGACAGUUCGGUCCCUAUCUGCCGUGGGCGCUGGAGAAUUGAGGGGGGCUGCUCCUAGUACGAGAGGACCGGAGUGGACGCAUCACUGGUGUUCGGGUUGUCAUGCCAAUGGCACUGCCCGGUAGCUAAAUGCGGAAGAGAUAAGUGCUGAAAGCAUCUAAGCACGAAACUUGUCCCGAGAUGAGUUCUCCCUGAGACUUUAAGUCUCCUGAAGGAACGUUAAAGACGAUGACGUUGAUAGGCCGGGUGUGUAAGCGCAGCGAUGCGUUGAGCUAACCGGUACUAAUGAACCGUGAGGCUUAACCUU
RNAcentral lists this ribosomal RNA (2902 nucleotides) under Klebsiella pneumoniae. Its description in RNAcentral is "23S ribosomal RNA". It matches the Rfam family "Bacterial large subunit ribosomal RNA". The record is from RNAcentral. Lineage: Bacteria; Pseudomonadati; Pseudomonadota; Gammaproteobacteria; Enterobacterales; Enterobacteriaceae.